Non-coding RNA from Pseudonaja textilis, 223 nucleotides. NCBI's taxonomy places the organism in Eukaryota, Metazoa, Chordata, Lepidosauria, Squamata, Elapidae. The record is from RefSeq and is a predicted model, not a curated record.
AAAGCACCUUUGGGACAACCAUUACCCGGAUAACUGAGAAUCUCCGUAGAGAUCUUGUAGUAAGAACUCUAUAUCCUGUGGAAUUGAUCUUCCUGGCUUCUUCAGAUAGUUAUGUAGGUAGACUGAGUGGCUAGAUUAGGGAAACUGUAAGCACUUACUUUGACAAAAAAAUGUCCUGUGACACAGUGUGUUUUAAAACAAUGUUGUGUCAUUCUCUUAAAGA